CUCUUUUUGAAUAUAAUUUAAAGUCGGGCCUGCCCACUGAAAUUUGAAGGGCCGCAGUAUUUUGACUGUGCAAAGGUAGCAUAAUCAUUAGUUUUUUAAUUGAAAGCUUGUAUGAAUGGUUUGAUGAGAAAAUUUCUGUUUCAAUUUUAAUUUAUAGAAUUUUAUUUUUAAGUAAAAAAGCUUAAAUUUAAUUUAAAGACGAGAAGACCCUAUAGAGUUUUACUUAUAAUAAAAUUGUAAAUUUAAGAAUUUUAUAUUUUAAAUUUUAUAAAAGUUUUGUUGGGGUGACAAAAAAAUUAAAGUAACUUUUUUUAAAUAUUAACAAUGAUUAUUGAUUAUUUGAUCCAUUGAAGUGAUUAGAAGAUUAAAUUACCUUAGGGAUAACAGCGUAAUUUUUUUUGAGAGUUCUUAUUUAAAAAAGAGAUUGCGACCUCGAUGUUGGAUUAAAAUUUAUUUUUGGUGUAGAAGCUAAAAAAUUAGGUCUGUUCGACCUUUAAAAUUUUACAUGAUCUGAGUUUAAACCGGUGUGAGCCAGGUUGGUUUCUAUCUUAAAUUUAUUUAAUAUUUUAGUACGAAAGGAUCAAAUAUUGUAUUAAUAAUAUUUAUUAAAGAAUUUUAUUUUGGCAGAUUAGUGCAAAGGAUUUAGAAUCUUUUUAUGUAUUUAUAUACAGAUAAAAAUAGAUUUAAUUUUGAUCAUUUUAAAUUUUUUCAUUUUAUUAGUUGGGGUUUUAGUAUGUUUAGCUUUUUUAACUUUAUUAUAACGUAAAUUAUU
This 772-nucleotide ribosomal RNA is filed under the name Epilachna convergens. RNAcentral's name for it is "partial 16S ribosomal RNA". The stretch from base 1 to 574 matches the Rfam family "Bacterial large subunit ribosomal RNA", at positions 1826 to 2925 of the family's 2925-position model. Lineage: Eukaryota; Metazoa; Arthropoda; Insecta; Coleoptera; Coccinellidae. The record is from RNAcentral.